AGCAGCCGCGGUAAUUCCAGCUCCAAUAGCGUAUAUUAAAGUUGUUGCAGUUAAAAAGCUCGUAGUUGAAUUUCGGGGUCAGUAGGUUGGUCAUGCCUUUGGUAUGUACUGGUCUCACUGAUUCCUCCCUCUUGAAGAACUGUAAUGUCAUUAAUUUGGUGUUGCGGGGAAUCAGGACUGUUACUUUGAAAAAAUUAGAGUGUUUAAAGCAGGCUUACGCUUGAAUACAUUAGCAUGGAAUAAUGAAAUAGAACGUUUGAUCCUAUUUUGUUGGUUUGCUUAUGGAUUGACGUAAUGAUUAAUAGGGAUAGUUGGGGGCAUUAGUAUUCAAUUGUCAGAGGUGAAAUUCUUGGAUUUAUUGAAGACUAACUACUGCGAAAGCAUUUGCCAAGGAUGUUUUCAUUAAUCAAGAACGAAAGUUAGGGGAUCGAAGACGAUCAGAUACCGUCGUAGUCUUAACCAUAAACUAUGCCGACUAGGGAUCGGAUGAUGUUAAUUUUUUUAAUGACUCAUUCGGCGC
This 520-nucleotide ribosomal RNA is filed under the name uncultured Glomus. RNAcentral's name for it is "SSU rRNA". It matches the Rfam family "Eukaryotic small subunit ribosomal RNA", at positions 569 to 1086 of the family's 1831-position model. Lineage: Eukaryota; Fungi; Glomeromycota; Glomeromycetes; Glomerales; Glomeraceae. The record is from RNAcentral.